GAUGAAGAACGCAGCGAAAUGCGAUAAGUAAUGUGAAUUGCAGAAUUCAGUGAAUCAUCGAAUCUUUGAACGCACAUUGCGCCCAUUAGUAUUCUAGUGGGCAUGCCAGUUCGAGCGUCAUUAAUUCCACUUAAGCCCUGCUUAGUGUUGGGAAUCUACUCUAGUGGUGCUACCCUGGAGCUACCCCUGAAAGGGGGCUGGCCCGGUAGCUACCCUGUAGUUCCUCAAAGAUAGUGCGCGGAGUUGCGUGGUCCUCUGAGCUUAGUAACUAUACACCUAGCUUUUGAGUGUCCCGCGGCGCCUGCCGUUUAAACCCCAUCUUUUAAUGGUUGACCUCGGAUCAGGUAGGAAUACCCGCUGAACUUAAGCAUAUCAAUAAGCGGAGGA
RNAcentral lists this unclassified non-coding RNA (387 nucleotides) under soil metagenome. RNAcentral describes it as "partial contains 5.8S ribosomal RNA, internal transcribed spacer 2, and large subunit ribosomal RNA". The stretch from base 1 to 120 matches the Rfam family "5.8S ribosomal RNA", at positions 35 to 154 of the family's 154-position model. The record is from RNAcentral.